ACCACGCGUUACCAAGGGCCUUUUAGAGUCGACCCUCGAGAUUACCCGGGUUUUAGAGAGGAAGAAACAGAAACUCGCCUGAGUGAAGACAAGAGCCCAAGACCACACAGCUAGCGACGGGGCGGGAAGGGACGGCAGCCCCUGCCUUGUCUCCUGCCCUUGGGGUGACUGUGAGGAAGGAGUCCGGGGCUCUGCCCGGGCUCCCGUAUCUCUAGACGCGGGUAGAGGAGGAAGUGAGUCCUGGGCUUGACCCUGAACCGCCUCCCGCUCCCUGUCCCGUGGUAGCAGGAGGGCCCUCACCCUUCCACCCGAGCCCGGGGAGGUUCGAUUCCGGUGUUCGUGGCUCUCCACUUGGAGCCCUGAACGGCGCUAGAGACGCGGAGACUGUGGCUCGAGCCGGCAGCAGAGGUCGUCGGAGGCCUUCUCUUACCUUGGGACCCCACGGGUGUGGGUGUCCGCUCUGCGGCUGGAGCAGUGCAGGGGGAGGGUGGGGCUGAUCACAAGGACCACCCGCCAGGGCAGCCCAGGCAGGGCUGCAGCUCUAGGGCGCCACCUGGCGGGUAGGAGGGGCCAGCCGGGUGAGCAGGGGGAUGGGGCCUCCCACAGCUCCGGAAGCAGAGGGAAGGCAGUGACAGGAAAUGACAGGAAUUGAAUGAGAGAAGGUGUCAGGCGCACGGGGAGGAAGGAAACGGAGGACGGACCCACCUCGUGGCUUCUGGAAGGCGGACUGGACCAGCCCGUACUGGAAGGUGGGGCGGGCUCAGGGGCGCUGUCCCCAUUCCCGCAUCCAGCCGGCUCCUUCCCUGCAGCACAGGUGGGCCACCGGCUACCCAGGACCCUCAGGCUCCCACAGGGUGGCCCCCUGAAGGCAGGCGGAUUGCUGGAGCUGACGAAGUCCUGGAAGACUUUCCCUCAUGGCUGUGCUUCCCCGUCCUUCUUGCUCUCAUGAGCAGCUGCCCCUCUCCACCAUCCCCUGCAGAAGAGUCAGGAACUCGUUGUUCAACAAAGGAGCAUUUGGUUUCUGUCCUGAGGCUUGCUGGGAUCCUGAAGGAGCACUGCCACUCCCUUUGUGUCCCAGGAGGUAAAGCUAGAUUCUUCCAGUGAAGAUCCAAUCAAAUGGUCAUGUCUUCCUGGAGCAGGAGUCGAUGUGGGAGCGUCCACAAGUGGGAAGAGCCCACCCGUCAAGCCCCAGCCUGAACAUAAGGUGAAGGUGCAUUCGGUGAGCCAGAGAACUUGCCUGCAGCGAACCUCCAGCACCACACGCAGGAGGUGCUGCGGGAGGGCUCACCUUUGGAAGCAACGUCACCUUCUGACUGUACUCUCCAGAGACAUCCCACCGCACCACACAGUGCCUCUCAUCUUUCCCGUUUUCUUCCUGUAAUAUUCUCAGACAGAGUCAGGUAAACCUGGCACUCACUCGUAGGAAUUUCCAUAGAGCCCCUGGGCAGAGAAAAGAAGCAGUGCUCUGCUGAGACCUUCCUCUGGACCGCGUCUGGUUUCUCGAGAACCACACUGUCACUGGGGUGUAGAGGAACAAGGGACCUGGGGAAGGUCCCCUGGGCAUCAGGAGGCUCAUCUCACAGUGGCUGAGCUCCCACAGCCAUCACAUGACACCAUUUGCAAGUAGAUGAUGUAAAUGGUUUCAACACGCAAGGUUUUUUGGGAGUCACCCCAGCCCAUUGGCCCUAUUGUAUGCACGGCAUUCUCCGCCCUUCCUCCCAGCCUUUAUUGAAGGAGCUACGGGGUGGGUGGUCAGCACGUUUGAGACUUUAAAUCUGAGAUCUAGUCUUUCAUGAAUUCAUGGCAUGUCUGCCAAAUCAAAUGCAAAACUGUCCACAUGCACAUCCACUUGACUUUGACCAGACUAGACUAUUCACUGCUCCCUAAACUUGCUCUAUGCUUUGCUGCCUCUGUGGUGGCUCCUGGGGAGAAGAGUUGUGUCUGAGUCUCUGCUCCAGCCCAUGAACCCGAUGGAGUCUUGUGACUCCUGGUGAGUCCCUCAGGCCCAACUCUUAUCCCUUCUUGGCACACCUCCCUUGCCUUUCUAUCGAUAUCCCCCCUUUUUUCCUAUAGUGGAUGAAGUACAAUAUCAAAUAAAGUGUUCACAAUACAGGGGUGUUUGUAGGAAGCUACACAGUGUUUGUUCAUGCCUGGGAGAUGCAAAAAUGCCAAGAAAACUUGUUGGCUGAAGAUGAUACAAAAUAUUUGUCCCCACCCGAGUGGUUUGGUGAAGACAAGUCAGUUAGCCUGUGUGAAAUAAAGCCCGAGCUUCCCCUGGCCCACUUCCUGGCGGUGAGAAGUAGCUCUCUGACUUGGGUUUGGAGGGGAGACAGUAAAGCUGGAGGCAGAGCUCAGAUGCCCUCAGGAGCUCUGCAAACGUAUCAAGGCACAAAGCAGGGGAAAUGAGACUUCAUUCUAAGCUGACCUCCCUGGGGGCCUAAUUCACUGGCAAAACAAAGUACCUCCGUGGAUGGUCUCCAACUGGAGGCCUACAGUUUGCUACCUUUCUGGAAGGAAAGGUAACCUAUGGUCACAUAGUUGGGAAAAGGUUUUAUUUUUCCUGGUUCCAUGUUCACAUUAUUUUAGAAUAAUCAAGCUAAAAUUGCAGCAAUGAAUUGGAAUGCUAGAAACCACCUCACGUACACCUAUUGUAAGGGUUAAAUUGUAGUGUAGGGCUAACUCUUACCUUGAAAAAUAACAGCUUUGUUCUGACACUGAAGGUCAAAAGAUAACAGCCUUGCUUUUACUCUUGUAAAUCAGGCUUUACUAAUGAAGGAAACAAAAGUUCAAAGAAAAGAGCAUCAAAGGCAAGGUCAAGGAGAUCCGCUGGUUGUAACUUAGAGGCAGAGAGUCUAAAAUAAUCACCUCAUUAGGCAACUGUUUCUAACUCAUCUGGGAACUGUUUCUCUCUUUUGUUCCCAGGUAAUGAUAAAACGAUGUGAUCGGCUUUAAAAACUCUGUACUCUGGCUGUUCGGAGCCUCACUCUUAUCCAGAGUGUUGGUCUGAUUGGUCGGCCUUGCCUCUCAUUGUAAUAAACUUUGUUGUGACUGUCGCUGUGCCCGUAGCAUUCUGUUUCAGGAGUCGUGUGGAUGCAACACUAUCAUGGAAGCAUACAUGAACGUGAGAACCGUUAGGAUGUCCUUGGAACCACAGUAGAGGGGACGGCCAUCUUGCCAGCACAACCCAACAAAAAGCCCCUAGUAGCGUGCCAGAAAGAAUUGGAGGUCAACCAAUCACCGAGCCACAGUGCGACCUGACGCGAAAAAGGCCCACCCGGACCUAAACCCGGAACUGCUGCAGCUUAAAAACCCCACCCCACCACACCUGGGGGCGACUCCCCUGACUCCUCUCUCUCUCUCUCUCUCCCUGAGUCACAGAACCUCGCCCGAGACCUGAGUUCCCAA
Molecule: long non-coding RNA, 3405 nt
Organism: Acinonyx jubatus (cheetah)
Lineage: Eukaryota; Metazoa; Chordata; Mammalia; Carnivora; Felidae
Exons: 3
Source: RefSeq, a predicted model, not a curated record